CGUAGCCAAGCGGUUGAAGGCACUGGGCUCAUAAUCCAUUUUCGUAAGAACAACGCUGGUUCGAAUCCAGCCGGA
This 75-nucleotide transfer RNA is filed under the name Ochromonas sp. CCMP1393. It matches the Rfam family "tRNA", at positions 6 to 65 of the family's 71-position model. From Rfam's summary of the family: Transfer RNA (tRNA) molecules are approximately 80 nucleotides in length. The record is from RNAcentral. Lineage: Eukaryota; Chrysophyceae; Chromulinales; Chromulinaceae.